GGGGGAUGGCGGCAGCUUACCAUGCAGUCGAACGGCAGCAUGAUCUAGCUUGCUAGAUUGAUGGCGAGUGGCGAACGGGUGAGUAAUACAUCGGAACGUGCCCUGUAGUGGGGGAUAACUAGUCGAAAGAUUAGCUAAUACCGCAUACGACCUGAGGGUGAAAGUGGGGGACCGCAAGGCCUCAUGCUAUAGGAGCGGCCGAUGUCUGAUUAGCUAGUUGGUGAGGUAAAGGCUCACCAAGGCGACGAUCAGUAGCUGGUCUGAGAGGACGAUCAGCCACACUGGGACUGAGACACGGCCCAGACUCCUACGGGAGGCAGCAGUGGGGAAUUUUGGACAAUGGGGGCAACCCUGAUCCAGCAAUGCCGCGUGUGUGAAGAAGGCCUUCGGGUUGUAAAGCACUUUUGUCCGGAAAGAAAUCGCACUUACUAAUAUUAGGUGUGGAUGACGGUACCGGAAGAAUAAGGACCGGCUAACUACGUGCCAGCAGCCGCGGUAAUACGUAGGGUCCAAGCGUUAAUCGGAAUUACUGGGCGUAAAGCGUGCGCAGGCGGUUGUGCAAGACCGAUGUGAAAUCCCCGGGCUUAACCUGGGAAUUGCAUUGGUGACUGCACGGCUAGAGUGUGUCAGAGGGGGGUAGAAUUCCACGUGUAGCAGUGAAAUGCGUAGAGAUGUGGAGGAAUACCGAUGGCGAAGGCAGCCCCCUGGGGAUAACACUGACGCUCAUGCACGAAAGCGUGGGGAGCAAACAGGAUUAGAUACCCUGGUAGUCCACGCCCUAAACGAUGUCAACUAGUUGUUGGGGAUUCAUUUCCUUAGUAACGUAGCUAACGCGUGAAGUUGACCGCCUGGGGAGUACGGUCGCAAGAUUAAAACUCAAAGGAAUUGACGGGGACCCGCACAAGCGGUGGAUGAUGUGGAUUAAUUCGAUGCAACGCGAAAACCUUACCUACCCUUGACAUGCCACUAACGAAGCAGAGAUGCAUUAGGUGCUCGAAAGAAGAAGUGGACACAGUGCUGCAUGCUGUCGUCAGCUCGUGUCGUGAGAUGUGGGUAGUCCCGCACGAGCGCACCUUGUCUCUAGUGCUACGAAGGGCACUCUAGAGAGACUGGCGUGACAUCGAGAGUGGAUGACGUCAGUCUCAUGACUUAUGGUUAGCUCCAACGUCAUACAUGUGACAUACAGAGGGUUGCCAAG
Molecule: ribosomal RNA, 1198 nt
Filed under: Ralstonia sp.
Lineage: Bacteria; Pseudomonadati; Pseudomonadota; Betaproteobacteria; Burkholderiales; Burkholderiaceae
Description: bacterial SSU rRNA
Rfam family: Bacterial small subunit ribosomal RNA
Source: RNAcentral